This 254-nucleotide ribosomal RNA is filed under the name uncultured bacterium. RNAcentral describes it as "partial 16S ribosomal RNA". It matches the Rfam family "Bacterial small subunit ribosomal RNA", at positions 524 to 777 of the family's 1533-position model. The record is from RNAcentral.
UACAGAGGGGGCAAGCGUUGUUCGGAAUUACUGGGCGUAAAGGGCGCGUAGGCGGCGUGGUAAGUCACUUGUGAAAUCUCUGAGCUUAACUCAGAACGGCCAAGUGAUACUGCUGUGCUAGAGUGCAGAAGGGGCAAUCGGAAUUCUUGGUGUAGCGGUGAAAUGCGUAGAUAUCAAGAGGAACACCUGAGGUGAAGACGGGUUGCUGGGCUGACACUGACGCUGAGGCGCGAAAGCCAGGGGAGCAAACGGGG